ACAGUCUAGACUGCUUUGGAACAUCUGUUAAAGAACUGCAAGAUGAAUAUUCAAGGAUGAAGGAGACCUGUGAGACAGAGAAAAGUGAGAAAUCAGCUCUCUUGGAGAAGUUGAUUAUUCUUGAGAAACUUGUUGAGAAAAAUGCCUUCUUAGAAAAUUCCAUUUCUGAUAUGAGUGUUGACUUGGAAGAGACCAGGGAGAGGGUAAAG
This 209-nucleotide unclassified non-coding RNA is filed under the name Hevea brasiliensis (rubber tree). The record is from RNAcentral. Lineage: Eukaryota; Viridiplantae; Streptophyta; Magnoliopsida; Malpighiales; Euphorbiaceae.